RNAcentral lists this ribosomal RNA (1372 nucleotides) under Lactiplantibacillus pentosus. RNAcentral describes it as "bacterial SSU rRNA". It matches the Rfam family "Bacterial small subunit ribosomal RNA", at positions 43 to 1380 of the family's 1533-position model. The record is from RNAcentral. Lineage: Bacteria; Bacillati; Bacillota; Bacilli; Lactobacillales; Lactobacillaceae.
GGUGCCUAAUACAUGCAAGUCGAACGAACUCUGGUAUUGAUUGGUGCUUGCAUCAUGAUUUACAUUUGAGUGAGUGGCGAACUGGUGAGUAACACGUGGGAAACCUGCCCAGAAGCGGGGGAUAACACCUGGAAACAGAUGCUAAUACCGCAUAACAACUUGGACCGCAUGGUCCGAGUUUGAAAGAUGGCUUCGGCUAUCACUUUUGGAUGGUCCCGCGGCGUAUUAGCUAGAUGGUGGGGUAACGGCUCACCAUGGCAAUGAUACGUAGCCGACCUGAGAGGGUAAUCGGCCACAUUGGGACUGAGACACGGCCCAAACUCCUACGGGAGGCAGCAGUAGGGAAUCUUCCACAAUGGACGAAAGUCUGAUGGAGCAACGCCGCGUGAGUGAAGAAGGGUUUCGGCUCGUAAAACUCUGUUGUUAAAGAAGAACAUAUCUGAGAGUAACUGUUCAGGUAUUGACGGUAUUUAACCAGAAAGCCACGGCUAACUACGUGCCAGCAGCCGCGGUAAUACGUAGGUGGCAAGCGUUGUCCGGAUUUAUUGGGCGUAAAGCGAGCGCAGGCGGUUUUUUAAGUCUGAUGUGAAAGCCUUCGGCUCAACCGAAGAAGUGCAUCGGAAACUGGGAAACUUGAGUUGCAGAAGAGGACAGUGGAACUCCAUGUGUAGCGGUGAAAUGCGUAGAUAUAUGGAAGAACACCAGUGGCGAAGGCGGCUGUCUGGUCUGUAACUGACGCUGAGGCUCGAAAGUAUGGGUAGCAAACAGGAUUAGAUACCCUGGUAGUCCAUACCGUAAACGAUGAAUGCUAAGUGUUGGAGGGUUUCCGCCCUUCAGUGCUGCAGCUAACGCAUUAAGCAUUCCGCCUGGGGAGUACGGCCGCAAGGCUGAAACUCAAAGGAAUUGACGGGGGCCCGCACAAGCGGUGGAGCAUGUGGUUUAAUUCGAAGCUACGCGAAGAACCUUACCAGGUCUUGACAUACUAUGCAAAUCUAAGAGAUUAGACGUUCCCUUCGGGGACAUGGAUACAGGUGGUGCAUGGUUGUCGUCAGCUCGUGUCGUGAGAUGUUGGGUUAAGUCCCGCAACGAGCGCAACCCUUAUUAUCAGUUGCCAGCAUUAAGUUGGGCACUCUGGUGAGACUGCCGGUGACAAACCGGAGGAAGGUGGGGAUGACGUCAAAUCAUCAUGCCCCUUAUGACCUGGGCUACACACGUGCUACAAUGGAUGGUACAACGAGUUGCGAACUCGCGAGAGUAAGCUAAUCUCUUAAAGCCAUUCUCAGUUCGGAUUGUAGGCUGCAACUCGCCUACAUGAAGUCGGAAUCGCUAGUAAUCGCGGAUCAGCAUGCCGCGGUGAAUACGUUCCCGGGCG